GAUGAACGCUGGCGGCGUGCUUAACACAUGCAAGUCGAGCGAAGCACUUACCAUUGACUCUUCGGAAGAUUUGGUAAAUGACUGAGCGGCGGACGGGUGAGUAACGCGUGGGUAACCUGCCUCAUACAGGGGAAUAACAGUUAGAAAUGGCUGCUAAUGCCGCAUAAGCGCACAGUACCGCAUGGUACGGUGUGAAAAACCGAGGUGGUAUGAGAUGGACCCGCGUCUGAUUAGGUAGUUGGUGGGGUAACGGCCUACCAAGCCGACGAUCAGUAGCCGGCCUGAGAGGGUGAACGGCCACAUUGGGACUGAGACACGGCCCAGACUCCUACGGGAGGCAGCAGUGGGGAAUAUUGCACAAUGGGGGAAACCCUGAUGCAGCGACGCCGCGUGAAGGAAGAAGUAUCUCGGUAUGUAAACUUCUAUCAG
RNAcentral lists this ribosomal RNA (429 nucleotides) under uncultured bacterium. RNAcentral's name for it is "bacterial SSU rRNA". It matches the Rfam family "Bacterial small subunit ribosomal RNA", at positions 28 to 439 of the family's 1533-position model. The record is from RNAcentral.